This 58-nucleotide transfer RNA is filed under the name Habropoda laboriosa. It matches the Rfam family "tRNA", at positions 8 to 63 of the family's 71-position model. From Rfam's summary of the family: Transfer RNA (tRNA) molecules are approximately 80 nucleotides in length. Their secondary structure includes four short double-helical elements and three loops (D, anti-codon, and T loops). Further hydrogen bonds mediate the characteristic L-shaped molecular structure. tRNAs have two regions of fundamental functional importance: the anti-codon, which is responsible for specific mRNA codon recognition, and the 3' end, to which the tRNAs corresponding amino acid is attached (by aminoacyl-tRNA synthetases). tRNAs cope with the degeneracy of the genetic code in two manners: having more than one tRNA (with a specific anti-codon) for a particular amino acid; and 'wobble' base-pairing, i.e. permitting non-standard base-pairing at the 3rd anti-codon position. Lineage: Eukaryota; Metazoa; Arthropoda; Insecta; Hymenoptera; Apidae. The record is from Rfam by way of RNAcentral.
UGGCGUAGUGGGCAAAGCCUCGGCUUGCUAAGCCGAAGGUCCUGGGUUCGAUUCCCGG